UACGAAGGGUGCAAACGUUGCUCGGAAUCAUUGGGCGUAAAGCGCACGUAGGCGGCUUCGCAAGUCGGAUGUGAAAUCCCUCGGCUCAACCGAGGACGUGCAUACGAAACUGCGGAGCUUGAGUACUGAAGAGGAUCGCGGAAUUCCCGGUGUAGAGGUGAAAUUCGUAGAUAUCGGGAGGAACACCAGUGGCGAAGGCGGCGAUCUGGGCAGACACUGACGCUGAGGUGCGAAAGCGUGGGGAGCAAACAGG
This 253-nucleotide ribosomal RNA is filed under the name uncultured bacterium. RNAcentral describes it as "partial 16S ribosomal RNA". It matches the Rfam family "Bacterial small subunit ribosomal RNA", at positions 524 to 776 of the family's 1533-position model. The record is from RNAcentral.